CUCAUAGCGUAUAUUUAAGUUGUUGCAGUUAAAAAGCUCGUAGUUGGAUUUCGGGCGCCAGGCGGCCGGUCCGCCGUUUCGGUGUGCACUGGUCGGCUCGGUCUUUCUGCCGGGGACGCGCUCCGUCUUGACUGCCGGACGCGGAGUCGGCGACGUUACUUUGAAAAAAUUAGAGUGUUCAAAGCAGGCUUACGCUCUGAAUACUAUAGCAUGGAAUAACACGAUAGGACUCCGAGCCUAUUUUGUUGGUCUUCGGGACCGGAGUAAUGAUUAAGAGGGACAGUUGGGGGCAUUCGUAUUACGGUGUCAGAGGUGAAAUUCUUGGAUUUCCGUAAGACGAACUUCUGCGAAAGCAUUUGCCAAGGAUGUUUUCAUUAAUCAAGAACGAAAGUUGGGGGCUCGAAGAUGAUCAGAUACCGUCGUAGUCUCAACCAUAAACGAUGCCGACUAGGGAUUGGAGGAUGUUAAUUCGAUGACUUCUCCAGCACCUUAAGAGAAAUCAAAGUUUUUGGGUUCCGGGGGGAGUAUGGUCGCAAGGCUGAAACUUAAAGGAAUUGACGGAAGGGCACCACCAGGCGUGGAGCCUGCGGCUUAAUUUGACUCAACACGGGGAAACUUACCAGGUCCAGACAUAGUAAGGAUUGACAGAUUGAGAGCUCUUUCUUGAUUCUAUGGGUGGUGGUGCAUG
This 688-nucleotide ribosomal RNA is filed under the name uncultured eukaryote. RNAcentral describes it as "SSU rRNA". It matches the Rfam family "Eukaryotic small subunit ribosomal RNA", at positions 591 to 1286 of the family's 1831-position model. The record is from RNAcentral.